This is a long non-coding RNA of Coffea eugenioides, 731 nucleotides long. RefSeq lists it as uncharacterized. The transcript is spliced from 4 exons. NCBI's taxonomy places the organism in Eukaryota, Viridiplantae, Streptophyta, Magnoliopsida, Gentianales, Rubiaceae. The record is from RefSeq and is a predicted model, not a curated record.
ACAUCAGAUACCGGCAAUUUGAUCCGAGUACCAAGAGUAGGUCCAACACUUGCAGCUGCUCAUCCGCCUUAUGGUGAAACUUUUCCGGGCAGGCCCACCGGUCGCUGGUCAGAUGGUCGCCUAAUUAUAGACUAUAUUGCUAUGGAACUUGGCCUUCCAUUACUUAAUCCUUAUCUGAAUAGCAAUGCUUCCUUCAACAACGGUGUCAAUUUUGCAGUCGCUGGCGCAACGGCCCUUAACACGUCUUUCCUUGCAGCAAGAGGCGUUGUUGUACCAGCAAUAUUUACUCCCCUCAGCGGUCAGCUUGAUUGGCUUCGCCGCCACCUUCAUUCCCUCUGUUCAACUCCAUCUGAAUGUUCAAAUAGGCUUAAGACAGACCAGGGACAGGAACAGUUGCUGACAGUUAUGUGCAUUUUGCACACGGCGUAACUUUUUUUGCAGAUGGAACGGUUGCAGCUUCCAGCUUAAGACUGCUCUUAUUAUGCUUGGCGAUAUUGGCUAUAAUGACAUCGACUUCGGGUUAAGCCAGAACAAAACCCUUGAAGAAAUUCAAGCUUAUGUACCAAAGCAAUUGCCAAUGCAACAAGAGUACGUUUUCGAUUAAUGAAUUUCUUUAUUUGACACAGUUGCCUAGUUUACCAAAUCUACAAAAGAUUACACUUGUAAAAUCAAUUGCGGGUUGGUGAUGAGGUGGACUGACAACUCAGCAACUUGUAAUAAAUACAGUCCAA